CGCGUAGGCGGUCUGUUAAGUGUGAAGUGAAAUCUCCAGGGCUCAACCCGGAAACUGCUUCGCAUACUGGCAGACUUGAGGAAUGCAGAGGUUUGUGGAAUUCCUGGUGUAACGGUGAAAUGUGUUGAUAUCAGGAGGAACACCCAUGGCGAAGGCAGCAAACUGGGCAUUAUCUGACGCUGAGGCGCGAAAGCGUGGGUAGCAAACAGGAUUAGAUACCCUGGUAGUCCACGCCCUAAACGAUGGAUACUAGGCGUAAGAGGUAUCGACCCCUCUUGUGCCGCAGCUAACGCAUUAAGUAUCCCGCCUGGGGAGUACGGCCGCAAGGUUGAA
RNAcentral lists this ribosomal RNA (333 nucleotides) under uncultured bacterium. RNAcentral's name for it is "bacterial SSU rRNA". It matches the Rfam family "Bacterial small subunit ribosomal RNA", at positions 568 to 898 of the family's 1533-position model. The record is from RNAcentral.